GACGAACCGUGCGAACGUUGUUCGGAAUCACUGGGCUUAAAGGGCGCGUAGGCGGGCGGCAUAGUCCGGGGUGAAAUCUUUCGGCUUAACCGGAAGACGGCCCCGGAUACUGGUCGCCUGGAGGGGGGUAGGGGCCGUUGGAACUUCCGGUGGAGCGGUGAAAUGCGUAGAGAUCCGGAGGAACACCGAAGGCGAAGGCAGUGUCCUGGCUGGUGACUGACGCUGAGGUGCGAAAGCUAGGGGAGCGAACGGG
This 253-nucleotide ribosomal RNA is filed under the name uncultured bacterium. RNAcentral describes it as "partial 16S ribosomal RNA". It matches the Rfam family "Bacterial small subunit ribosomal RNA", at positions 524 to 776 of the family's 1533-position model. The record is from RNAcentral.